CAGCAGCCGCGGUAAUACGAAGGUCCCGAGCGUUGUUCGGAAUCACUGGGCGUAAAGGGAGCGUAGGCGGCGUGGUAAGUCAGAUGUGAAAUCCCGGGGCUCAACCCCGGAACUGCAUCCGAUACUGCCAUGCUAGAGGAUUGGAGAGGUAGCUGGAAUUCUUGGUGUAGCAGUGAAAUGCGUGGAGAUCAAGAGGAACACUCGUGGCGAAAGCGAGCUACUGGACGAUAACUGACGCUGAGGCUCGAAGGCCAGGGUAGCGAAAGGGAUUAGAGACCCCUGUAGUCCCUGUCUCUUAUAC
Molecule: ribosomal RNA, 301 nt
Filed under: uncultured bacterium
Lineage: Bacteria
Description: partial 16S ribosomal RNA
Rfam family: Bacterial small subunit ribosomal RNA
Source: RNAcentral